UGGGGAAUAUUGGACAAUGGGCGCAAGCCUGAUCCAGCGACGCCGCGUGGGUGAAGAAGGCCUGCGGGUUGUAAAGCCCUUUCGGUUGGGAAGAAAAGUAUGGGCCUAAUACGCUCGUACCAUGACGUAACCAACAAAAGAAGCACCGGCUAACUCUGUGCCAGCAGCCGCGGUAAUACAGAGGGUGCAAGCGUUAAUCGGAAUUACUGGGCGUAAAGCGCGCGUAGGCGGCUUGACAAGUUGAGUGUGAAAUCCCCGGGCUUAACCUGGGACCUGCAUUCAAAACUGUCUUGCUAGAGUAUGGGAGAGGGAAGUGGAAUUUCAGGUGUAGCGGUGAAAUGCGUAGAUAUCUGAAGGAACAUCAGUGGCGAAAGCGACUUCCUGGACCAAUACUGACGCUCAGGUGCGAAAGCGUGGGGAGCAAACAG
Molecule: ribosomal RNA, 428 nt
Filed under: uncultured bacterium
Lineage: Bacteria
Description: bacterial SSU rRNA
Rfam family: Bacterial small subunit ribosomal RNA
Source: RNAcentral